Molecule: transfer RNA, 38 nt
Filed under: Mullus surmuletus (striped red mullet)
Lineage: Eukaryota; Metazoa; Chordata; Actinopteri; Syngnathiformes; Mullidae
Description: partial tRNA-Phe
Source: RNAcentral
GCUAGCGUAGCUUACAUAAAGCGUAACUCUGAAGAUGU